This 420-nucleotide ribosomal RNA is filed under the name uncultured Pseudarthrobacter sp. RNAcentral describes it as "bacterial SSU rRNA". It matches the Rfam family "Bacterial small subunit ribosomal RNA", at positions 358 to 790 of the family's 1533-position model. Lineage: Bacteria; Bacillati; Actinomycetota; Actinomycetes; Micrococcales; Micrococcaceae. The record is from RNAcentral.
GGAAUAUUGCACAAUGGGCGCAAGCCUGAUGCAGCGACGCCGCGUGAGGGAUGACGGCCUUCGGGUUGUAAACCUCUUUCAGUAGGGAAGAAGCGAAAGUGACGGUACCUGCAGAAGAAGCGCCGGCUAACUACGUGCCAGCAGCCGCGGUAAUACGUAGGGCGCAAGCGUUAUCCGGAAUUAUUGGGCGUAAAGAGCUCGUAGGCGGUUUGUCGCGUCUGCCGUGAAAGUCCGGGGCUCAACUCCGGAUCUGCGGUGGGUACGGGCAGACUAGAGUGAUGUAGGGGAGACUGGAAUUCCUGGUGUAGCGGUGAAAUGCGCAGAUAUCAGGAGGAACACCGAUGGCGAAGGCAGGUCUCUGGGCAUUAACUGACGCUGAGGAGCGAAAGCAUGGGGAGCGAACAGGAUUAGAUACCCUGG